GUUUCAACUGACCUCCCUCCAUCACUGUGUUAGAAGCCAGUUUCCCUCCACUUGCAAAUUCACGAGGCCAUCGAGACUUCAAAUGUGCAGGCAGCCGGAGCCUCGGAUGAUGGCUGCCUUUUGCCGGGGACCCUUGGGCAGACCUCUUGGAGGAAUCCGACUGCGAUUUUCCCCAAACAACGUCCCCUUUUAGCAGGAAGUAGCUAAGACCAGUCAUCAUCUAUAUUCUAACGGCAGUUAGAUGUGCCUCUUCAGAGGGGGAAAUGAUACAGAACAGCCAGAAUAAACCCCACUCUUAGGCCUGGAACCACAACCUUAAGUGAAAACAGCUGGCCCUGUUUCUCCUGCCCAAAUGUUGCCUUUUUGGCCUGCCACCCCUUAUCCUGUGCCCAUAAAAGGACUUCAGCUGGCAGAGCAACACAAAUGGCUGAGCAUCAGGGAUACAAGCUGCUGAGUGUUGGGCAUAUACGCGGCUGAGUAGCGAACAAAGAAGUAACAACUGAGCAUUGGAGACUAUGGAUAGAUGCAGCUAACUUCAGACAGUGUGGCUUCAAGGAAAGAUCACCUUCUUCCCCUUUCCCCAUCCCACUAAGAAUCACUUUUAUCAGCCAAUAAAAUCCUCUUCAUACAC
RNAcentral lists this long non-coding RNA (631 nucleotides) under Homo sapiens (human). RNAcentral describes it as "HSALNT0174388". Lineage: Eukaryota; Metazoa; Chordata; Mammalia; Primates; Hominidae. The record is from RNAcentral.